GAUGAAGAACGUAGCGAAAUGCGAUACGUAGUGUGAAUUGCAGAAUUCAGUGAAUCAUCGAAUCUUUGAACGCACAUUGCACCUCUCGGUAUUCCGGGAGGUAUGCCUGUUCGAGCGUCAUUUGUACCCUCAAGCUCUGCUUGGUGUUGGGCGACGUCCUCUUUGGGGACGCGCCUCGAAACGCUCGGCGGCGUGGCACCGGCUUUAAGCGUAGCAGAAUCUUUCGCUUUGGAAGUCGGGGCCCCGUCUGCCGGAAGACCUGCUCGCAAGGUUGACCUCGGAUCAGGCAGGGAUACCCGCUGAACUUAAGCAUAUCAAUAGCGGAGGA
Molecule: unclassified non-coding RNA, 328 nt
Filed under: soil metagenome
Description: partial contains 5.8S ribosomal RNA, internal transcribed spacer 2, and large subunit ribosomal RNA
Rfam family: 5.8S ribosomal RNA (bases 1-120)
Source: RNAcentral